GCUUAGUUGGUAAAGCACAAGGCUCUUAACCUUAUGGACGUGGGUUCAAGCCCCAU
Triticum aestivum (bread wheat) is the source of this 56-nucleotide non-coding RNA. NCBI's taxonomy places the organism in Eukaryota, Viridiplantae, Streptophyta, Magnoliopsida, Poales, Poaceae. The record is from Rfam.